This 2556-nucleotide long non-coding RNA is filed under the name Nicotiana tabacum (common tobacco). RNAcentral describes it as "long non-coding RNA (NTAB_LNC007020)". Lineage: Eukaryota; Viridiplantae; Streptophyta; Magnoliopsida; Solanales; Solanaceae. The record is from RNAcentral.
AGUACUCAGUCAAAACAGCCUGCAAGUUAGCACGAACUCAUAAUGUAAUAACUAACCAUUGAUCUUGGAAGUUAAUAUGGAAAAUCAAGUUGCCACCCAAAGUCAUCUGCUUCAAUUGGACUGCACUUUAUGAGGCUUGUCUGACACAGGACAACUUAGCCGAGAGGAAUUUUCAGAUUGUGAAUAGAUGUUACAUGUACCAGAGGGAGGCAGAAACUCACAACCAUCUUUUUCUUCAAUGUCCUGUUGCAGCAGAUUUAUGGAGUAUGUUUAUAUCACUCUUUGGACUUAGUUUGGUCAUGCCUUGGAGUUACUGGAAAGUUGAUAGCACCAUUAGGAAAGUAUGGAAGAUGAUACCUGCAGCUAUUUUUUGGAGCAUUUGGAAUGAGAGAAACAGCAGGUAUUUUGAUGGAGUAUCAACUUCUCCCCACAGACUCAAGGCUAGAUGCCUCAUGUAUUUGUAUAGCUGGGCUUAUCUAUCCUCUAUAGACUCCCCUGAUUAGUUUUUUGAAUUUUGUUAGCUCCCUAGUACUAGUAUAAACAUUUGUAAGGAGCUAACAAUUGCUACACUCUUUUGUAACUUCUGCAUCUCCUUGAUGCCAGAAAUGAAACCAAUUACUUCAUCAAAAAAAAUAAUAAAGCCAACCAGAUGUUGUAUUGAUUGAAAUACACGGCUUUUUAUACUAUCAUCAAAUAUUGUAUAACUUAUAUUAAAUUUUAUGUUGGAAUUAAUUUGUUAAGACGAUAAAUCAAACAACCCCUUAUUGUUUAAAGAAUUUUGAAUCAGUCUAUCAAAGAUAUAUACCUCUUUGAACUAACAAAGGGGUGUGAUUUGUCGUAUUGGGGAAGUGUAUAAAAAAUCGGAAUUUAUAGCUUCUAAGUAAAGGCAGUUCAACUUUGCGGGCUUUGGGAGCGUGACUGGCUUUAGAUUUUAAGUAGAAUAUGAUAAAAAAGAAGUGUAUAGCGCAUGAAAUAGAUGCGCUAUACUAACUGACCCCAUUAACAUAAAAUUGUUCGCCCUUUUUUAACACCUAUUUUGGUCGCUUGAGUUCAAAAUAUUAUUACUUUGGUUCCGGACUCAUUAUAGUCUCAGUAAAACAUUAUACUUGGAAAACAGUAGCAUAAUACUAAACCAAUCCUAUUAAGAAACCAAAAAGAUGAAAACCCAAGUUAGGACCGAGCUAAUUACUCUGAAAUUUUCAAUAAUUUAACAAAAAUAAAAAAUAACAAGAAGAUCCAAUCUUUGAAAUAAAAACCCAUAAAACUACCAGUAUUAGGGUUUCUCUGACAGUAGCAUAGCACUAAAAUAAUCCUAAGAAACAUAAAAGAGUAGACCCAAGUUAGGAACAAGCUAAAUACUCUAAAAUUUCCAAUAAUUUAAUUGGAAAGAACAAAAAGAUUCAAUCUCUGACAUAAUCCUAAGGAACAAAAAAACAAAGAUAAACCCCAAGUUAGGAACAAGCUAAUUACUCUAAAAUUUCCACUAAUUUCAUAAGAAAAUUUAUAAAUAUCCAACCUUUGAAAUAAAAACACAUAAAACUACAAAAACUAGGGUUUCUCUGACCUAAUAGACUGAAUUAUCAAUCAAUCAAUAAAUCAAACAAAAAAUGAAAUUAAAAAAAUCCUUCCGAGGAAAUUGAAAAAAUGAAAUAAAAACAAAAGGUUUGAAUUAAAGAAGUGACCUGGGUGAGAAGGCGUAUUAAAGCCAUCUCCUUUUUUCAAAAGAAAGAUUGGAUUUUUCUUCAAUCCCUUUAUAUAUCUUGAGAAUUUCCCCCUCUUGUUUACUAUGUAGUUUUCUUGAUGCUUUUGUGUCAAUUUUUAUUUGUUGAUGGAAAAUGGAGAAGGGGAAAAAGGGGAGCAAGAUGGAUAUUUUGUUUUUGUUUUUUCAGAGGAAAUAUAAAUAUAUUUGGCUAUUUACUACAAAUAAAUUGACAAGAGUAGGUUGCUACAGUUGUGAGCACCCUCCACUUCCAACCAAAAGGUUAUAAGUUCGAGUGACCCCAAGAGCAAGCUGGGGAAGGAGGGUUCGGCCGAACAUAAUAGCUUUAGUUCGAAUUCUGUAUUUGUCUUAAAACAUUUAUUGAAUAUGUAUAAAUUAUUAAUUUAGAACCCAAUAACUUAAGGCGAUUAAAAUCCCAGACCAAUAAGUUUGAAAUCCUAGUUCCGCCUCUGCCUAUUAUGGAAUUGACUGCUAACUUGUACACCGCAUAAAGAUAGCUGAAUUUUAAUUACUCCCCCCGUUCACUUGUACUUGUUCACUUUGGAUUUUGCACGCCCCUUAAGAAAUAAUAAAUAAAGUGCAUAAUUUAUCAUGAUACCCAUAUUAAUUGGUGUAUAGUCUUAAUAAAUUCGAAAAAUGAUUUGGAAUGAGUAAUUAAUGGUAAGGGCAAUACAGAAAAAGUAAAUUAUUUUUCUCUUGAUAUACGAAAAGUGACAAGUAAAAAUGAAAAUUUUAUUUUUAGAAUACGUGACAAUCAAAAGUGAACGGAGGGAGUAUUAUUCUUUUGUUUUAGGAAAUGAUUCAAUCAUAUUUGCACCCCAUUAGUAAAUUAUCUC